Paramuricea clavata is the source of this 231-nucleotide non-coding RNA. The record is from the annotation of a GenBank genome assembly. Lineage: Eukaryota; Metazoa; Cnidaria; Anthozoa; Malacalcyonacea; Plexauridae.
GAAUUCGAAAAUUUGAUUGUGAGAGCACUGUUUGUUGUUCUUGUUUUCUGUAAAAUUUUAUUUAUAUAAGGUUUAUUUCAGCAAAACUUAACAAUUAUGAGGGUAUUGAAACUUUCUUUUGCAUGGAUGUUUUACCUGUUGUUUCUCCAUACAACAGAGGGUUUUUACUUGCCUGGUUUAGCUCCAAUUUCGUAUUGUGAAAAGCAAGAUAGUGUCGAGGGAAAAUGUAAG